Molecule: ribosomal RNA, 486 nt
Filed under: uncultured soil bacterium
Lineage: Bacteria
Description: bacterial SSU rRNA
Rfam family: Bacterial small subunit ribosomal RNA
Source: RNAcentral
AGGAUCAACGCUGGCGGCGUGCCUAAUGCAUGCAAGUCGGACGGGGUGACUUUCGGGUCACUCACGUGGCGGACGGGUGCGUAACACGUGGGCAAGCUGCCCUGGGGCGGGGGAUAGCCGAGGGAAACCUUGGGCAAUUCCGCGUACGUUCACUGGCCGGCGGGGCGGUGAAGAAAGGAGCCUUCGGGUUCCACCCUGGGAGCGCCUGCGGCCGAUUAGCUAGUUGGGGGGGUAACGCUUCCCAAGGCGAUGAUCGGUAGCUGGUCUGAGAGGACGGCCAGCCACACGGGGACUGAGACACGGCCCCGACUCCUACGGGAGGCAGCAGCAAGGAUCUCGCAAUGGCGCAAGCCUGACGGAGCAACGCCGCGUGGGGGAUGACGCGCUUCGGCGUCGUAAACCCUUUCGUGUCGGAAGAAGGCGCCUCGUGCGUCUGACGGUACGGCGAGGAAGAAGGACCGACUAACGUACGUGACCAGCAGCCGC